Molecule: transfer RNA, 72 nt
Filed under: Bos taurus (domestic cattle)
Lineage: Eukaryota; Metazoa; Chordata; Mammalia; Artiodactyla; Bovidae
Also listed under: 2 other names
Rfam family: tRNA
About the family: Transfer RNA (tRNA) molecules are approximately 80 nucleotides in length.
Source: Rfam by way of RNAcentral
UCCCUUGUGGCUCAGCUGGUAGAGAGUCUGCCUGCAGUGCAGAAGACCUGGGUUCGAUCCCUGGGUUGAGAA